This 655-nucleotide ribosomal RNA is filed under the name Bacillus sp. EK-CH-I5. RNAcentral describes it as "bacterial SSU rRNA". It matches the Rfam family "Bacterial small subunit ribosomal RNA", at positions 60 to 695 of the family's 1533-position model. Lineage: Bacteria; Bacillati; Bacillota; Bacilli; Caryophanales; Bacillaceae. The record is from RNAcentral.
AGUCGAGCGAAUGGAUUAAGAGCUUGCUCUUAUGAAGUUAGCGGCGGACGGGUGAGUAACACGUGGGUAACCUGCCCAUAAGACUGGGAUAACUCCGGGAAACCGGGGCUAAUACCGGAUAAYAUUUUGAACUGCAUGGUUCGAAAUUGAAAGGCGGCUUCGGCUGUCACUUAUGGAUGGACCCGCGUCGCAUUAGCUAGUUGGUGAGGUAACGGCUCACCAAGGCAACGAUGCGUAGCCGACCUGAGAGGGUGAUCGGCCACACUGGGACUGAGACACGGCCCAGACUCCUACGGGAGGCAGCAGUAGGGAAUCUUCCGCAAUGGACGAAAGUCUGACGGAGCAACGCCGCGUGAGUGAUGAAGGCUUUCGGGUCGUAAAACUCUGUUGUUAGGGAAGAACAAGUGCUAGUUGAAUAAGCUGGCACCUUGACGGUACCUAACCAGAAAGCCACGGCUAACUACGUGCCAGCAGCCGCGGUAAUACGUAGGUGGCAAGCGUUAUCCGGAAUUAUUGGGCGUAAAGCGCGCGCAGGUGGUUUCUUAAGUCUGAUGUGAAAGCCCACGGCUCAACCGUGGAGGGUCAUUGGAAACUGGGAGACUUGAGUGCAGAAGAGGAAAGUGGAAUUCCAUGUGUAGCGGUGAAAUGCGUANAA